CCUACGGGAGGCUGCAGUGGGGAAUAUUGCACAAUGGGGGAAACCCUGAUGCAGCGACGCCGCGUGCGUGAAGACGUAUUUCGGUACGUAAAGCUCUAUCAGCAGGGAAGAAAAUGACGGUACCUGACUAAGAAGCCCCGGCUAACUACGUGCCAGCAGCCGCGGUAAUACGUAGGGGGCAAGCGUUAUCCGGAUUUACUGGGUGUAAAGGGAGCGUAGACGGCAGCGCAAGUCUGGAGUGAAAUCCCAUGGCUUAACCAUGGAACUGCUUUGGAAACUGUGCAGCUAGAGUGCAGGAGAGGUAAGCGGAAUUCCUAGUGUAGCGGUGAAAUGCGUAGAUAUUAGGAGGAACACCAGUGGCGAAGGCGGCUUACUGGACUGUAACUGACGUUGAGGCUCGAAAGCGUGGGGAGCAAACAGGAUUAGAUACCCCAGUAGUC
Molecule: ribosomal RNA, 440 nt
Filed under: uncultured bacterium
Lineage: Bacteria
Description: partial 16S ribosomal RNA
Rfam family: Bacterial small subunit ribosomal RNA
Source: RNAcentral